GCAGCAGUGGGGAAUUUUGCGCAAUGGGGGAAACCCUGACGCAGCAACGCCGCGUGAGUGAUGAAGGCUUUCGGGUCGUAAAGCUCUGUCAAGAGGGGCGAAGUGUACGGAGGUUAAUACCCUUUGUACUUGACGGUACCUCUGAAGGAAGCACCGGCUAACUCCGUGCCAGCAGCCGCGGUAAUACGGAGGGUGCAAGCGUUGUUCGGAAUUAUUGGGCGUAAAGCGCGUGUAGGCGGUUUGUUAAGUCUGAUGUGAAAGCCCCGGGCUCAACCUGGGAAGUGCAUUGGAAACUGGCAGACUUGAGUACGGGAGAGGGUAGUGGAAUUCCCAGUGUAGGAGUGAAAUCCGUAGAUAUUGGGAGGAACACCGGUGGCGAAGGCGGCUGCCUGGACCGAUACUGACGCUGAGACGCGAAAGCGUGGGGAGCAAACAGGAUUAGAUACCCUGGUAGUCCACGCCGUAAACGAUGAGUACUAGGUGUUGCGGGUAUUGACCCCUGCAGUGCCGCAGCUAACGCAUAAGUACUCC
RNAcentral lists this ribosomal RNA (531 nucleotides) under uncultured bacterium. Its description in RNAcentral is "bacterial SSU rRNA". It matches the Rfam family "Bacterial small subunit ribosomal RNA", at positions 348 to 870 of the family's 1533-position model. The record is from RNAcentral.